Molecule: ribosomal RNA, 647 nt
Filed under: Fusarium oxysporum
Lineage: Eukaryota; Fungi; Ascomycota; Sordariomycetes; Hypocreales; Nectriaceae
Description: eukaryotic LSU rRNA
Rfam family: 5.8S ribosomal RNA (bases 301-454)
Source: RNAcentral
CUACCGAUUGAAUGGCUCAGUGAGGCGUCCGGACUGGCCCAGAGAGGUGGGCAACUACCACUCAGGGCCGGAAAGCUCUCCAAACUCGGUCAUUUAGAGGAAGUAAAAGUCGUAACAAGGUCUCCGUUGGUGAACCAGCGGAGGGAUCAUUACCGAGUUUACAACUCCCAAACCCCUGUGAACAUACCACUUGUUGCCUCGGCGGAUCAACCCGCUCCCGGUAAAACGGGACGGCCCGCCAGAGGACCCCUAAACUCUGUUUCUAUAUGUAACUUCUGAGUAAAACCAUAAAUAAAUCAAAACUUUCAACAACGGAUCUCUUGGUUCUGGCAUCGAUGAAGAACGCAGCAAAAUGCGAUAAGUAAUGUGAAUUGCAGAAUUCAGUGAAUCAUCUAAUCUUUGAACGCACAUUGCGCCCGCCAGUAUUCUGGCGGGCAUGCCUGUUCGAGCGUCAUUUCAACCCUCAAGCACAGCUUGGUGUUGGGACUCGCGUUAAUUCGCGUUCCUCAAAUUGAUUGGCGGUCACGUCGAGCUUCCAUAGCGUAGUAGUAAAACCCUCGUUACUGGUAAUCGUCGCGGCCACGCCGUUAAACCCCAACUUCUGGAUGUUGACCUCGGAUCAGGUAGGAAUACCCGCUGAACUUAAG